CCGCCGGCGACCGGCGCACGGGUGGGGUAACACGUAUGCAACCUGGCCGUGACAGAUGGAUAACCGGGAGAAAUCCCGCCUAAUACAACAUAAUGCCGGGAGGGGACAUCCCCUGCCGGCCAAAGGGGGCGACCCCGGUCACGGAUGGGCAUGCGGCGCAUUAGGUAGUUGGUGGGGCAACGGCCCACCAAGCCGACGAUGCGUAGGGGUUCUGAGAGGAAGGUCCCCCACAUUGGAACUGAGACACGGUCCAAACUCCUACGGAAGGCAGCAG
Molecule: ribosomal RNA, 274 nt
Filed under: uncultured bacterium
Lineage: Bacteria
Description: partial 16S ribosomal RNA
Rfam family: Bacterial small subunit ribosomal RNA
Source: RNAcentral